GGGAGGUUGGCGAUGGGCGCGUCACUCGCCAACUGGGUCAGAUCCGGAAGGAAGCAGCCCUAACGGGUUCGACGCGGGUUAUUGUUCGGCCUCCCACC
Molecule: signal recognition particle RNA, 98 nt
Filed under: Hyphomicrobiales bacterium
Lineage: Bacteria; Pseudomonadati; Pseudomonadota; Alphaproteobacteria; Hyphomicrobiales
Description: signal recognition particle sRNA small type
Rfam family: Bacterial small signal recognition particle RNA
About the family: The signal recognition particle (SRP) is a universally conserved ribonucleoprotein involved in the co-translational targeting of proteins to membranes. Archaeal SRP consists of a 7S RNA and homologues of the eukaryotic SRP19 and SRP54 proteins. In most bacteria, the SRP consists of a 4.5S RNA and the Ffh protein (a homologue of the eukaryotic SRP54 protein).
Source: RNAcentral